UCUGGAUGACCCUCAGGGGAGAGAAGGAGAGAGGGAACUAGUUGAAAGCUGGGGUUUGAGGCUUAGUCAAGGAUGAUCCAGUGAUGGCCAGCUGCUUGCUGAUGUUGAGUUCGUGUGUAGCAGUGUCUGGUGGGAAGAGACCUGUGGCGGAAGGAAGAGUGUUGAUCUAGAUCUGACCUGCUGCGGAGG
Molecule: long non-coding RNA, 189 nt
Filed under: Mus spicilegus (steppe mouse)
Lineage: Eukaryota; Metazoa; Chordata; Mammalia; Rodentia; Muridae
Description: lncRNA (ENSMSIG00000006717.1)
Source: RNAcentral